RNAcentral lists this small RNA (88 nucleotides) under Eubacterium sp. CAG:156. RNAcentral describes it as "GA-cis RNA". It matches the Rfam family "GA-cis RNA". The record is from Rfam by way of RNAcentral. Lineage: Bacteria; Bacillati; Bacillota; Clostridia; Eubacteriales; Eubacteriaceae.
GAGAUAAGGAAAUAAAAUGAAUGAAGUUCAUUUUCUAAAGAUAUUUCCGAUGACCAGCCAACAAUUAAAUGGCUAGGCAAUAACACAU